Molecule: long non-coding RNA, 1075 nt
Organism: Falco peregrinus (peregrine falcon)
Lineage: Eukaryota; Metazoa; Chordata; Aves; Falconiformes; Falconidae
Exons: 3
Source: RefSeq, a predicted model, not a curated record
CGGCCGGCGGGCCCCGGGCCUACCCGGACCGGCGGCCUUGCGCCCCCCGGCCCACAGCGCCCGGCGCGGGACAGCCCGGGCGGGUGCCCUCAGCCCCGCGCAGUGCUCGUGCUUUCUCGGAGCUGAACCCCGGAGGCUCUGCAGCGGCUGGGAGGGCCUUUCCCUCGGCUUCUCCCCGGGCUGGGCCCUAACCAGAAGUCAACUACUGAUUUGUUGUUCCCUGUGUGUCUCUUGGAGCCUUUUUUUGAAAAUGUAUUCACAUUUCCCAUCUUUUGAGGUUAAACAACAGACUACAUGCCUUGGAGGAGGGUCAGUCUUUGGAUGAAGCACUGACAGCUGAGCAGUAGUGGCAACCCCACGACCUAGAACAGAAGAGCACCUCUGUUACACAGCCAACUUUAAAAGGAAGAAAUGAAAACAAAGGGUUAAAUUCUAGAAAAUUAUUGGUGUUUUAAAUACUGCUGUGAGAGCAAGCCCCUGAAAAAAGGUCCUUAGCUCCUAAACUACAGCCUGACUUAUGUAAGUGACUUGCCCCACACUGCUCAGAGCACAGUGGAUCUCAAGAGUGGGAGACAGAAGAUCCAAAGUGAGGGGAAGAAGGCACUUGGUCAGUUCAGGCAUCUCUAGAAACAGAUGGUGGCUAGAGAAAGAGGGCAUCACAACGCUGCAUAAAAGUUUUGGUCUUGCUCACCUUUGCACCUACUGUUUACAGCACAAAGCUAACAACAGAAACUGGCAACACAGACAGCAGCAGCUGGAAGAUUAUCUUCUCGAUCUGCUUCAGCUCCACAGCCAAGCUGUAUCUUAACACAAGUAUGUGGCACAAAAGGGGCCAAGAAACACUGCAUGAACCAUGUACAGAUCACAAAGAGGUUUUCAGCAGCUUGCAAAAGCCAUUGAACAGGUUAAACUAACAUAUUGCCACCGUUUACAUGCCUGAUCCUAAAGCACAGAUGAGUUCAGUAACAGUACAGGACACAUCACAGAAAAGCAUGCUAUGACACAAGUUUAAGAGCAGAUAAAUCUAACUUUUGAUGGUUAGUAUUUCCUCUAAAUAAAUGUGUUUUGACAGCUA